Molecule: long non-coding RNA, 950 nt
Organism: Anthonomus grandis grandis
Lineage: Eukaryota; Metazoa; Arthropoda; Insecta; Coleoptera; Curculionidae
Exons: 3
Source: RefSeq, a predicted model, not a curated record
UAGACGACAAGGCUCUGGCAGAAGGAGAAUGACCACUGCAGCUGAUGCAGCUCACUUUGCCACCAUUAGUUCUUUAAGAGAUCGAAGAUCUACUGCUGUGUGUCUAAAAAAUGACUUGCGAAUACUUCAUGGAGUAAGUGUAAGUGAAAGAACGAUACGGAGAAGAUUAGCAGAAGCUGGACUUUAUUCAUGAAGGCCAGCAAGAUGUCCACAAUUACUUCCUCAGCAUCGACAACACCCACUGAGGUUUGCAAGAUCGCAUUUUAAGUGGACUCUAGAACAGUGGGCAAACGUACUAUUCACAGAUGAAUCCAGGGUUUGUUUAAGGACGCCGGAUGGUCAAUAAAUCUCAUAUCGUGGCGGUUCAGUCAUGAUUUGGGCGGGUAUUUCUACUGAAGCACGCACCAAUCUUGUAUUUAUUGAAAAUGAAGCUCUAACCGCCCGCCGUUACAUUGAGGAAAUCCUUCAAGAAGUUGUUGUCCCAUUUGCUCCAUUCAUUGGGAACCAAUUUACAUUAAUGCAUGAUAAUACAAACCUCACAUUGCACAUGUAGUGAGCGAAUAUCUGGAUGAAGUUGGACUCCCAAGAUUGGAAUGGCCCGCAUGUAGCCCAGAUCUCAACCCAAUAGAACAUCUUUGGGAUCAACUUAAAAGGGCCGUUCGUCGUCGUCCUGUACAACCACAAAUCUUGCAAGACUUACGACUAGCGCUGAUCGAAGAAUAUGAGGCUAUUCCUCAAGAAAGAAUAAGGACCUUAUUCUUUCGAUGCCGCGAAGACUGCAAGCUGUUAUUGCUGCGAGAGGAGGAAAUACACGUAAAUACACCUCGCAGCAGAAAUGAGAUAAUGGAAUGAAUCAAAAAUCGAAAUGUUUAGAAUACAUCAAAGAUUACAAGGAACAGUAUGUAAACAGAAUUAUCCACCUUAAUUUUCCUACAGGGUCUUUUGAAAUU